CCUACGGGCGGCAGCAGUGAGGAAUAUUGGUCAAUGGACGAGAGUCUGAACCAGCCAAGUAGCGUGAAGGAUGACUGCCCUAUGGGUUGUAAACUUCUUUUAUAUGGGAAUAAAAUGUUCCACGUGUGGGAUUUUGUAUGUACCAUAUGAAUAAGGAUCGGCUAACUCCGUGCCAGCAGCCGCGGUAAUACGGAGGAUCCGAGCGUUAUCCGGAUUUAUUGGGUUUAAAGGGAGCGUAGGUGGAUUGUUAAGUCAGUUGUGAAAGUUUGCGGCUCAACCGUAAAAUUGCAGUUGAAACUGGCAGUCUUGAGUACAGUAGAGGUGGGCGGGAUUCGGGGUGUAGCGGUGAAAUUCUUAGAUAUCACGAAGAACUCCGAUUGCGAAGGCAGUUCACUGGACUGCAACUGACACUGAGGCUCGAAAGUGUGGGUAUCAAACAGGAUUAGAUACCCCAGUAGUC
This 460-nucleotide ribosomal RNA is filed under the name uncultured bacterium. RNAcentral describes it as "partial 16S ribosomal RNA". It matches the Rfam family "Bacterial small subunit ribosomal RNA", at positions 338 to 795 of the family's 1533-position model. The record is from RNAcentral.